GGUAUUUCAAACAACACGUUUAAACAAACUUCGCUUGACGCUCAGAACUUUUUUCCGUUACCAAUAAUCUAUUGUUGCUUACAGAUUGAAUAACUCUUUGUAUCUUGCCUUCCCAACUUCCCGCCUAUAACAACAGUGGCCCAUCCAUUAGAUGCAGUAUCAGCUCUUUUUUUUUUUUUAUUCUUUAAAUAUACCUAUUACCUAUUAUAUCAUUCUAUGAAAAUUGAAUAUGCAGAUUCCGCAAAAUCGUUAAACAUAAAAGUAUAAAAC
Non-coding RNA from Cinara cedri, 270 nucleotides. NCBI's taxonomy places the organism in Eukaryota, Metazoa, Arthropoda, Insecta, Hemiptera, Aphididae. The record is from the annotation of a GenBank genome assembly.